RNAcentral lists this ribosomal RNA (450 nucleotides) under uncultured bacterium. RNAcentral's name for it is "partial 16S ribosomal RNA". It matches the Rfam family "Bacterial small subunit ribosomal RNA", at positions 354 to 796 of the family's 1533-position model. The record is from RNAcentral.
GUGGGGAAUAUUGGACAAUGGGCGAAAGCCUGAUCCAGCCAUGCCGCGUGUGUGAAGAAGGUCUUCGGAUUGUAAAGCACUUUAAGUUGGGAGGAAGGGCAGUAAGUUAAUACCUUGCUGUUUUGACGUUACCGACAGAAUAAGCACCGGCUAACUCUGUGCCAGCAGCCGCGGUAAUACAGAGGGUGCAAGCGUUAAUCGGAAUUACUGGGCGUAAAGCGCGCGUAGGUGGUUUUGUAAGUUGGAGGUGAAAUCCCCGGGCUCAACCUGGGAACUGCCUCAAAAACUGCAUGACUAGAGUACGGUAGAGGGUAGUGGAAUUUCCUGUGUAGCGGUGAAAUGCGUAGAUAUAGGAAGGAACACCAGUGGCGAAGGCGACUACCUGGACUGAUACUGACACUGAGGUGCGAAAGCGUGGGGAGCAAACAGGAUUAGAAACCCCAGUAGUCC